Molecule: long non-coding RNA, 1908 nt
Organism: Amphibalanus amphitrite
Lineage: Eukaryota; Metazoa; Arthropoda; Thecostraca; Balanomorpha; Balanidae
Exons: 2
Source: RefSeq, a predicted model, not a curated record
GGUUUUUUAACAUUUUCCUGAGAAGAGGCAUAUGCCAUUUUGUUUAACUAAAUUAAAUUACUGUUUUAAAUAAACGAAGUAACGAGGCCAGAGCCCAGUCUAGGCUGAGCUUACUGCGCAGACCUUAGAUUCUUAUGCUUCCAUCCUAUCGGGACUUUCGGGCCAUGACGCCACAGUUUAUCGUGCACACACAGCUGAGCACGCUUUGUUCAACUUCCUGACUUCAACUGGCUGCGGCUGCGUCCACCAGUCGCAGUAUAUGAAACCCCGUCCGGAAUUCCAUAUAUCGAGUGCCAGAGCUAAACCUGCAAGGUUAUUAGGCGAUGAGAUAUACGCGAAUGUCCACUCGAAAACACAAGCCAGCCCACUCACACGCAUGCCUCAAUUAAAUUCAUAUAAGGUAAAGGCCUGGUCUACAUUAUACAUCAUGUAUAAUCAUUCAUCUUCUUCCUAGCUAGCGCUGUACUAUGAGCAUGUGGAAACCUCACUUUCAAUUCAGAUGCGGUAAAGUUUUCCAUUUUCUCAACUUCGCUCACUGUCUUCGAAGAUCCGAAAAAAAAACAUUGAGAGAUUAUAUUGUGGUGCUGAUAGUGAUCAGCCCAGCCUUAAAGGUACCAAGCCUAUGGAGAGUUUUGCACCUCACGGCCAUUCUAUUGCAGCCCCCGAGCCCAAGAUGAAAUGUGCAAUUUCUAUAUGAUGUACUGGACAAAGAGCAAGCCGGUUGGAAGGAGCCUUUGCAUUACGCUGGGGCCGCCGUACUAUUCGUGGAAGAGCAACGAAAUGGGUAUGCGCCAGUUUUCCAACGUGCCGUCCAUAUCGGCAGCCUCGGAGAUCACGACCGAAGAGAUCCGUGCCUACUUUGGCACACCGUGAACAAUCGUCCCCAAGCGCCACUGCCGACGACGAGAUGUGCAAUUUCUACAUGAUGUACUGGACCGAGCAGUCGCUGCUUUCCAAGGCCUACUGCUUCAGCUGGGGGCCGCCGCUCUCGUACUGGCACCGUGUGCCCAUGGGCUUCUGGAAACUGUUCUCCUUCCCGUGGCUGACCGGGAUCCCCGAGGACAAACGCGCCUCAGAGAUCGACAAAAAUGAACUGCGCUCCUACUUUUUCGCCAAAAUGCGAAACACGUAACUUACUCAGCCUGAAACAGGAAUUACGUCACUCUCAGGAUCAGGAUAAGAGUCAUUUGAUAAUCACAGAAAAACACGGCAGACAAGGCGUAGUUUAAACAUUAAAAAAUGCGAAAAAUGCGAAUAAAAAAAUGCGAAACAUUAAACGCUUAGCAAGCUAUGAUGCAUUUUCUGUGAAAAUGAUAUCCAUGCACGCUUCAUUCACACUGUUAUGAUUUUUAAUGUUUUUACUUUGGUUACCUAUGCCGCGACUAUGCUGAGUUGUUACAGUUUUGUUACAUAAUUGUUUUGUUGAGGUUUCUGCAUGUUUUUUUGUGUUUAGUAUGCGAGUGUUUAAUGCCUAUAUAUUUUAUAUAUUUUCUAACGUAUUACUCCUUUUGUGUUCUGUCAAAUAACGAGUGAAACUCCUGAUCACGUUUGUAACGACCAUUCAGUGACGCGGACAUUGAGUCAUUGAGUCUGAUAACUGACGCGCACGGGGCGGCGCCCGUUAUUUGUUAGCCGCCCAUGUUGCCGUCCAUUGUCAGCCUCUCCUGUUUGCUGGCUUACAUUGUUAACCACCCGAGUUGUUGCCCCGUUAACGUUGGCCGCCCCUGAUGCUUCCUUUAAACGGAGGCAGUAUUGUUACGGUUAGCUGUAAAGGUACCCCUUCCGCCGUUAUGUAGUUGUAGUCGUUCCUGUUAUCGCUUGGAUAUGGUGCAGGAUUUAUUAGUUUGGCAUGCUGUCUGGUUAUUUUGUGAAAAUAAAUUUCAAUGUUCGUAGGGACACAUGUUGACA